GGUCUGGUAGUUCAGUUGGUUAGAACGCUGCCCUGUCACGGCAGAGGUCGUGGGUUCGAAUCCCAUCCAGAUCGCCA
RNAcentral lists this transfer RNA (77 nucleotides) under Streptococcus salivarius. RNAcentral describes it as "tRNA-Asp". It matches the Rfam family "tRNA". Rfam says of the family: Transfer RNA (tRNA) molecules are approximately 80 nucleotides in length. The record is from RNAcentral. Lineage: Bacteria; Bacillati; Bacillota; Bacilli; Lactobacillales; Streptococcaceae. RNAcentral also lists the same sequence under 8 other names.